GACGAACGCUGGCGGCGUGCUUAACACAUGCAAGUCGAACGAAGAGCGAUGGAAGCUUGCUUCUAUCAAUCUUAGUGGCGAACGGGUGAGUAACGCGUAAUCAACCUGCCCUUCAGAGGGGGACAACAGUUGGAAACGACUGCUAAUACCGCAUACGAUCUAACCUUGGCAUCGAGGAUGGAUGAAAGGUGGCCUCUAUUUAUAAGCUAUCACUGAAGGAGGGGAUUGCGUCUGAUUAGCUAGUUGGAGGGGUAACGGCCCACCAAGGCGAUGAUCAGUAGCCGGUCUGAGAGGAUGAACGGCCACAUUGGGACUGAGACACGGCCCAGACUCCUACGGGAGGCAGCAGUGGGGAAUCUUCCGCAAUGGACGAAAGUCUGACGGAGCAACGCCGCGUGAGUGAUGACGGCCUUCGGGUUGUAAAGCUCUGUUAAUCGGGACGAAAGGCCUUCUUGCGAAUAUUUAGAA
This 468-nucleotide ribosomal RNA is filed under the name Veillonella dispar. RNAcentral describes it as "bacterial SSU rRNA". It matches the Rfam family "Bacterial small subunit ribosomal RNA", at positions 28 to 468 of the family's 1533-position model. Lineage: Bacteria; Bacillati; Bacillota; Negativicutes; Veillonellales; Veillonellaceae. The record is from RNAcentral.